AUGCACGCUGGCGGCGUGCUUCACACAUGCAAGUCGAACGAAGCACCUCUCCCGAAGAUUGACACAGCUUGCUGUAGAUUGAUUCAUUUGAGGUGACUGAGUGGCGGACGGGUGAGUAACGCGUGGGUAACCUGCCUCAUAGAGGGGGACAACAGUUGGAAACGACUGCUAAUACCGCAUAGUAAGAAGAAUUCGCAUGUUUUCUUCUUGAAAGAUUUAUCGCUAUGAGAUGGACCCGCGUCUGAUUAGCUAGUUGGUAAGGUAACGGCUUACCAAGGCGACGAUCAGUAGCCGGCUUGAGAGAGUGAACGGCCACAUUGGGACUGAGACACGGCCCAAACUCCUACGGGAGGCAGCAGUGGGGAAUAUUGCACAAUGGGGGAAACCCUGAUGCAGCGACGCCGCGUGAGUGAAGAAGUAUUUCGGUAUGUAAAGCUCUAUCAGCAGGGAAGAUAAUGACGGUACCUGACGAAGAAGCCCCGGCUAACUACGUG
This 494-nucleotide ribosomal RNA is filed under the name uncultured bacterium. Its description in RNAcentral is "partial 16S ribosomal RNA". It matches the Rfam family "Bacterial small subunit ribosomal RNA", at positions 29 to 507 of the family's 1533-position model. The record is from RNAcentral.